RNAcentral lists this transfer RNA (62 nucleotides) under Dermacentor albipictus. Its description in RNAcentral is "tRNA-Glu". Lineage: Eukaryota; Metazoa; Arthropoda; Arachnida; Ixodida; Ixodidae. The record is from RNAcentral.
AUUUAAAUAGUGUAACUACAACACUUAACAUUUUCAUUGUUAGAAUCUUUUGAGUUUAAAUU